RNAcentral lists this ribosomal RNA (340 nucleotides) under uncultured prokaryote. Its description in RNAcentral is "partial 16S ribosomal RNA". The record is from RNAcentral.
CCCUAUGGGGUGCAGCAGGCCUCGUUCGUCAUCAGCGAUCUGCAGAACAGGAACGGAUCCCGGCGCCAAAGGCUGGCGGCGAUUCUGCAGUUCAGUCUUCCCGGCGUGCCCUGUAUCUAUUAUGGAGAUGAAAGAGGCAUGCUCGGGUUCCUCGAUCCCUUCAAUCGGGAGACAUUCCGGCAAGCGCCAUACGACCUGACGGAUCUUUAUGCGACAUUAGGUCAUUUGCGCAACGGGGCGGAUGCAUUGCAGACAGGUUAUGCCGUGUUCUUUGCGCCCGAUCCCGACUGCCUUGGUGUGCUGCGCUAUGUGACGGGAGGACAAGACGCCCUGGGAGAGC